Molecule: ribosomal RNA, 274 nt
Filed under: uncultured bacterium
Lineage: Bacteria
Description: partial 16S ribosomal RNA
Rfam family: Bacterial small subunit ribosomal RNA
Source: RNAcentral
AGACGAACCGGACAAACGUUAUUCGGAAUUACUGGGCUUAAAGAGUGCGUAGGCGGCUUUGUAGGUUGGGUGUGAAAUCCCACAGCUCAACUGUGGAACUGCGCUCAAAACCACAAAGCUUGAGGGAGGUAGAGGUAAGCGGAACUGAUGGUGGAGCGGUGAAAUGCGUUGAUAUCAUCAGGAACACCAGUGGCGAAAGCGGCUUACUGGGUCUCUUCUGACGCUGAGGCACGAAAGCUAGGGUAGCGAACGGGAUUAGAAACCCCAGUAGUCC